AUAUGCAGAGCAUAAGUGGGACAGAUGUGGCGCUCAUCACAACAUCCUCUCAAAGCCUCUGAGAUCUGAUUGGAUCCAUGUUGUGUGAGUCAUGUGAAUCAGACAGGGUUGGCUGGUCCUGUAAAGAAGCUUUGUGUUUGGCUUAGCAGGGCUCACAAGAAGAAGAAUCCUAGUGCUGAGUAACCCUAUACACUCUUACAUACUGGAUCCAGAUUUCCAGCGCUGGAGGUCUGUGGUGAACCACCCACUGCUGGCAGCGGUCUAACCCGGCUGAGGCAGCGGAUGGGGUGGGUGUUGAAUCUAAGGCUCCCGUGGAGAGCACUGGAGACCAGACCAGCCCUGCUGAAUCAUGCUAAAUGAAGAUGAAACCGUGCUGGACUGCUGUGUUUGUGUGAAAGUGCAGCUGUGUAGGUAAUACUAGUUCAGCUGGACCUCUCAGUGCCCUGGUUUGGGAUGUUUGUGUGUAUUUCCUCAGGUGUUUUCCUGCUUUGAUGCUUGAUGGAAAGCUCUUUAUAACAUCAGUAAACUUACUGAGCAUCAAUUCAGCCUGUGAAUCCACAAAGAUGUCAUUUUCCUGCAACUGUUUCAUGACAAUUGCAGUUUCCAUGAAAUUCUGUUCCCGCAUAUGACAAAGUGCGCAGUCGACAAGGUUAAGGAGAAGAAACAGAAUCUCUCAAGUGAGCACGGCCAACAAAUCGCUCUGUGUAACUCUAGCUCUCCAUGGCUACUCUUCGGGCAGGAGGGGAGAAGAUGUGAGGGGUGUGAUGAGGUCAAUCCCCUGGUGCCUGAUAGUGAAACUGAAAAAUCAUGGAGAAACUAUGGACUUAUGGCACACACUACAGCAUUUCCUGUACAGUCUCUGGAGUAUUGAGAAAACUGCUUUUUAGGUCAAGAAGGUUAUGACCAGAAGCCUGUUUUCUUGGAAGAGUAAAGCCCACAGCACAACAGAAUUCCAUCCUUAGGGAUUUUGGGAAGCAGCACAGCAGACCUGGAUAGCCUGGGAAAUUGGAGGAGGGAGGCAAUGGGAGGUCUUAUCCAAGAACUUUCUUAACAACUCAGUUUGAAACCCUAAGGGAUGUUUGUGAGAAAUUAUCAACAGGUACUGAAUCAUCUCAUAUUGCAAAAGACCAUUGUUGGGUCUCAUAUUUGGAAAUUUUGUGACUUUCAAAGUCCUUUUCUCAAGAGUUUUUAUUUUCAUUUGUAUUACCAUCAACUGCAUCUAUUUGUAUCUUUGUAUAAAUUGAUAAAUUAAAUCUGACAAUAGCUUUGGCGUCUUCCAAAGAUGCAAAUUUAACUAAUGUGCAAAACUGGAAUAUCGCAUAAAACAUUUGCAAAUGUAGCAACGUUUCCAUACAACAAGAGAGAACAAAAUUGUCACUUCCUGAUAAACUGGCACUAAAUAUCACUAGGAAAGGUAGGAGAAUGUAAUAAUCUUCAUAUAUGUGACCCUGGACCACAGGGUGAAUUUUUUUAAACUGAGAGGUGGAUGCCUGCAGUCAUAGAAGACAAUUAUACAGAAAUACUUUGCUCAGGCCUUUCAGAAUGACCAAAACUACUUUUUAGAUACUGCGCAACAAGAUCAGAAAUUUUUUUCUUACCGGAUAAAAAGCUUAUCAUACUUAAUUGCGCGUAUACAUUUUUUUAAUGCUCAUUUUUUAGAAUUUAUGCACAUUUUGGUGUUUCCAUCCAGCAUUUUUUAAAAUACAGUAUUCCAAAUGCGCAUACAAAUACAUGUAUGUCAACCAUACAAUUGCUAUUCUUUUCAUUUUUCAUUCAUCAAAGAAAAAAAAGUGUAGCUGCCACACAAAAAAAUAUCAAGCAGCACACGAUUUAAACUGAUCAUAAUUAAAGCUGCAGUAGGUAACUUUUGACGCUCUAGCGGUUAAUAAACAGAACUGCUUGCGUCUUGCGGAAGAACAUCGUAGCCGGAACUACUUCUCUCUAUUUAUGUCUAUGAAGAAUCACAAAGGUACUGGGUUACUCCGCCGCGGUACGCCUGAAGCAAUCUAAAUUAGUCAGAAUAUAAACACUUAUUAUAGGUGCACCCUAGUGAUUCAGGACAAGCUAAAAACACAGUUUAAAAUGGAUUCAUGGUGUACUCGCUUAUUAUAUACAUUUUUCUACAUUUUGAACACAAACAAGGUUACGGACCGCAGCUCUGAUUGGUUGUUUCUUAACGGGAGCGAUGUAUUUCUGCAAAUGGCAAUAGGACCACUGGGAGGAGCCAGAGGAGCUUGAUUUUUUCACAGAUUAUCUGUCUCAUAUUCUACUGUCAGGACAUAAUGACAGGUUUAACAAAUAUGUAAAAAAUAUAUUUUUACAAAAGUUACCUACUGCAACUUUAAAAAAUGUUUCUUAAGAACUAUAUCAGCAUGUUAGUAUAGCUUUUUCACCACUCAAAUUUAUUUAAAAAUAUAUUUUUAUAAUAUAAUUUUAGUAUAAUAUAAUUUCAAAAUAUAUUCAGAUACAAAGUGGUUUUAUUUGUAGAAAAAUUUAACAGUAUUACCAUUUUCACGGUAUUGUUGAUUAAAUAAAUGCUGGAAAAAUAACUAGGCCUAUAUCAAUAAAGUUGCCGGUAUGCAAAAUAAUGCUUAAAGAUUCAUUCAAAUUUCUGAGUUGCAAAGAAAAAUAACUAUCAAAUGAGUAAGAGUAAGAGU
This is a long non-coding RNA of Carassius gibelio (silver crucian carp), 2657 nucleotides long. RefSeq lists it as uncharacterized. The transcript has 5 exons. NCBI's taxonomy places the organism in Eukaryota, Metazoa, Chordata, Actinopteri, Cypriniformes, Cyprinidae. The record is from RefSeq and is a predicted model, not a curated record.